RNAcentral lists this long non-coding RNA (1415 nucleotides) under Homo sapiens (human). RNAcentral describes it as "non-protein coding lnc-PTK2-4:1". The record is from RNAcentral. Lineage: Eukaryota; Metazoa; Chordata; Mammalia; Primates; Hominidae.
AUGUCAGCCAGACUUCAACUCCAGCUGGGUGUGAGCACCUUAUGCCACCGCUGCCCACGCUGCCCUGCAUCCGUGCUGCGCUGCGUUGGCACUGGAGAGGCUGGGAGGCUCUGGGAAUUGGAAUCCCUGGCUGUGCUUGCCGGAAAGGGUGUAUGUAAAUGAGGCGGUUUUCCUGCCACCUCUGCAGAUGAUUCAGCCCAGCAAGUGUGAAGAGGGAGGGAACGUCCCUGCCAGAGCUGGGACACAGUGCAGGGGCGUGGUUAUAAAUGAACGAAACAGCUCUUCUGCUGAGUUUUUUUUUCUUCUAUACAGUUCCUCUGUGAGUUCCCUUUAACCAUGACGUAAAACCCAUUUUGUGGCUUUAGUCUUCUAUUUCAAACAACAUGUUCACCAGCAACGGUGCAGAACAGUGGGACGCACUCUGGGGCCAGGGUGCCUGUCUGCACCUUGGCUGGCUGGCACCCUCAGGCAGGUCCCCCUGGGCUGGUGGGCACCAGGGGAGUUCUCCCGGACAGGGUUGUGUCUCGCAGGAUGAGACAGCGGUCACGACGACACAGCAGCCAUGCGAUGACGUGGGCCCGUCCCCCACCCCGGCCACUUGCCUCUCCCCUGCUGCUCCACCGACUCCUCCCAGCCUGCAGGUGACCCGGACGUGCUGCCUCACCUGUAGAUGCCACUUUGUUCAUCUGUGAGACUACGCUGGGAAAAUGGGCUCACUGCAGAUCUUGCAUUGGGUACUUUUUAAAUCUCUCUGGGCAUCUGUUAAAUGGCAUAAUGACUAUCUGUGCUUACAUCUUAAGCUUCUAUUUUGCUUUUUUGUUUGUUUGAGAUGGAGUUUUGCUCUUGUUGCCCAGGCUGGAGUGCAAUGGUGCCAUCUCAGCUCACUGCAACCUCCGCCUCCAGGGUUCAGGUGAUUAUCCCAUCUCAGCCUCCCGAGUAGCUGGAAUUACAGGCAUGCGCCACCGUGCCCGGCUAAUUUUGUAUUUUUAGUAGAGACGGGGUUUCACCAUGUUGGUCAGGCUGGUCUCGAACUCCCGACCUCAGAUGGUCUACCCGCCUUGGCCUCCCAAAAUGCUGGGAUUACAGGGCAUGAGCCACCACACCCAGCCAGCUUCUGUUUUCUUUAACUUAGGGAUAUAUCAGAGAAAAAUAGAAUGAUGUAUCCAAUAUUCAUCCUUCUCCCAGAGUUUGUUCAUUUUUUAAAAAUAAUUUAGUUUUAAAUAACAAAUAUAAUAAACCUACUUAAAAAAUACAGAAGCACAGGCCAUGUGCAGUGGCUCACGCUGUAAUCCCAACACUUUGGGAGGCCGAGGCAGGAGGAUCGCUUGAACCCAAGAGUUUGAGACCAGUCUGGACAACACAGGAGGGCUCCAUCUCUAUAAUAUGUGUGUAUGUGUGUGUGUGUAUAUAUAUAU